GUGUCAGCCGCCGCGGUAAUACGGAGGGUGCGAGCGUUAAUCGGAAUUACUGGGCGUAAAGCGCAUGCAGGUGGUUUGUUAAGUCAGAUGUGAAAGCCCGGGGCUCAACCUCGGAACCGCAUUUGAAACUGGUUCACUAGAGUACUGUAGAGGGGGGUAGAAUUUCAGGUGUAGCGGUGAAAUGCGUAGAGAUCUGAAGGAAUACCGGUGGCGAAGGCGGCCCCCUGGACUGAUACUGACACUGAGGUGCGAAAGCGUGGGGAGCAAGCAGGAUUAGAAACCCCCGUAGUCC
RNAcentral lists this ribosomal RNA (292 nucleotides) under uncultured prokaryote. Its description in RNAcentral is "partial 16S ribosomal RNA". It matches the Rfam family "Bacterial small subunit ribosomal RNA", at positions 505 to 796 of the family's 1533-position model. The record is from RNAcentral.